CUGGUAGAGAUGGGGUCUUCCUGUGUUGCCCAGGUUGGUCUGGAACUCCUGGGCUCCCACCUUCACCUCCUAAAGUGCUGGGAUUAUAGGCAUGAGCCAUCACACCCAGCCUUUUGGUUUUCUUUGGGGUUUUGUGUGUGCGUGUGUGUGUGUGUAUGUGUGUUUACUAUGUCAUUGAAUUAUUUCAGCAAGCCUAUGGGAUGGCUUCCAUGUUCCUAUUUAACAGAUGAGGAAAUGGAGACUCAGUCACUUGCCCAGGUGCACCCAGCACGCAGGUUGCUUUGUUCACAGCUAUAUCCCCAAUGCCCAGAAUAAUACUCAGCAUAUAAUGGAGGCUUUGUAGGAAGAAUGAAUGAAUGAAUGGCAGAGCUGGGGUUUGAACCUAGAUCUGUUUGACUCUAUACUCUUAAGAACUCAGCUGCAUGAGUUGUGUUUAAUUAAAAUAUUUGGUGCUUUUUUUUUUUUUUUUGCUACAAAAUCUCACUCUGUCACCCAGGCUGGAGGUGCAGUCUUGGCUCACUGCAACCUCCGCCUCCCAGGAGAAUCACUUGAACCUGGGAGGUGGAGGUUGCAGUGAGCCGAGAUCACGCCACUGCUCUCCAGCCUGGUGACAGACGAAGACUCCAUCUCAAAAAAAAUAAAAAAUAAAAAAAAAUUAGCUGGGCCUGGUGGCAGAAGCCUGCAAUCCCAGCUACAUGGAAGGCUGAGGCAGGAGAAUUGCUUAAAAUCAGGAAGCGGAGGUUGCAGUGAGCCAAGAUCGCGCCAUUGUAUUCCAUCCAGGGCGACAGAGCAAAACUUCGUCUCAAAAAAAAAGAAAAAAGAA
Molecule: long non-coding RNA, 823 nt
Filed under: Homo sapiens (human)
Lineage: Eukaryota; Metazoa; Chordata; Mammalia; Primates; Hominidae
Description: long non-coding RNA NONHSAT180521.1
Source: RNAcentral